Molecule: ribosomal RNA, 253 nt
Filed under: uncultured bacterium
Lineage: Bacteria
Description: partial 16S ribosomal RNA
Rfam family: Bacterial small subunit ribosomal RNA
Source: RNAcentral
UACGUAGGGAGCAAGCGUUGUUCGGAGUUACUGGGCGUAAAGAGUUCGUAGGCGGUCCGGUAAGUUUGGUGUGAAAUCUCCCGGCUCAACUGGGAGGGUGCGCCGGAGACUGCAGGGCUUGAGUAUGGGAGAGGUAAGCGGAAUUCCUGGUGUAGCGGUGAAAUGCGCAGAUAUCAGGAGGAACACCGGUGGCGAAGGCGGGUCUCUGGGCCGAUAUUGACGCUGAGGAGCGAAAGCGUGGGGAGCGAACAGG